AAUAUUUGACAAUGGGGGCAACCCUGAUCCAGCCAUGCCGCGUGUGUGAAGAAGGUCUUCGGAUUGUAAAGCACUUUACGUUGGGAGGGAGGGCUUUAGGUUAAUACCCUGAAGUUUUGACGUUACCAACAGAAUCAGCACAGGCUAACUCUGUGGCCGCAGACGCGGUAAUACCGUGGGUGCAAGCUUUAAUCGGAAUGACUGGGAGGAAAGCGCGCGUAGGUGGUUACGUAUGAUGGGUGUGAAAGCCCCGGGCUUAACCUGGGAACUGCUUUCAUAACUGCUGAGCUAGAGUACGGUAGAGGGUAGUGGAAUUUCCUGUGUAGCGGUGAAAUGCGUAGAUAUAGGAAGGAACACCAGUGGCGAAGGCGACUACCUGGACUGAUACUGACACUGAGGUGCGAAAGCGUGGGGAGCAAACA
This 422-nucleotide ribosomal RNA is filed under the name uncultured bacterium. RNAcentral's name for it is "partial 16S ribosomal RNA". It matches the Rfam family "Bacterial small subunit ribosomal RNA", at positions 360 to 774 of the family's 1533-position model. The record is from RNAcentral.